RNAcentral lists this ribosomal RNA (207 nucleotides) under uncultured bacterium. RNAcentral describes it as "partial 16S ribosomal RNA". It matches the Rfam family "Bacterial small subunit ribosomal RNA", at positions 568 to 774 of the family's 1533-position model. The record is from RNAcentral.
UGCGUAGGCGGAACUGCAAGUCAGUGGUGAAAUCUGAGGGCUCAACCCUCAAACUGCCAUUGAAACUGUGGUUCUUGAGUGAAGUAGAGGUAGGCGGAAUUCCCGGUGUAGCGGUGGAAUGCGUAGAGAUCGGGAGGAACACCAGUGGCGAAGGCGGCCUACUGGGCUUUAACUGACGCUGAGGCACGAAAGCAUGGGUAGCAAACA